This 250-nucleotide ribosomal RNA is filed under the name uncultured bacterium. RNAcentral's name for it is "partial 16S ribosomal RNA". It matches the Rfam family "Bacterial small subunit ribosomal RNA", at positions 524 to 773 of the family's 1533-position model. The record is from RNAcentral.
UACGUAGGGAGCAAGCGUUGUUCGGAAUUACUGGGCAUAAAGCGCACGUAGGCGGCCUAUCAAGUCAGAUGUGAAAGCCCCUGGCUCAACCAGGGAAUUGCAUUUGAAACUGAUAGGCUUGAGGGCGGCAGGGGAGAGUGGAACUCGUGGUGGAGCGGUGAAAUGCGUAGAUAUCACGAGGAACGCCGGUGGCGAAAGCGACUCUCUGGGCCGUUCCUGACGCUGAGGUGCGAAAGCCAGGGUAGCGAAC